GUCAGCAGGACGAGAGAGACACAUGGAUGAGGAGGAGGGUGGCGAUGAGGAUCCCGAUGCUCCUCCUGCUCCCGAUGCGCCUCUCCGCCUCACCUCCGCCUCCUCCACCUCCGCCUCGCAUCGCUGGCCUCAGCCGCCGCCGACCAGCGCAGCAGGAGGCCUCUAACCUUGUGAAUCAUUACAAAGCCAUGCCCUGAGGUGGAGAACUGCUAGAUUGGGAUGAAGCAUGUGCAGGAAAUGAGGAAUGAUCGGGAGCCUGAACUGCAGUUGGACACAUAAGUGAAAGAAUGGAUUCCUGAAGGGAUAUAUUGGAGACGCAUGAACAGAAAAAGAGGAGACCAUCUGGAAGUCUCCUUCAUCUCAUCCAAAGUGGGAGCAGAAAAUGGAGAGUCUUGUGGUACCAGAAGAUAGUAGUAUGGAGAUCGGGGACUCGAUACUGAGAGAGGCUCAGUACCCAUGAGGAGCAGGGACACCAGAUACACGAAGGAGUUCUCGAUAAUGGAUGAACUGAACUCCUGUGAUACGAAGUAGGGGACCGGUAGUGAUGCUGUGGCCACAGUUGCCGAAGCCAGUGGUACCGUUGAUGGUGGACGUACUGAAGUAGACACAGGGUAUCUGAUGCAGUUGCUUGCUCAGUGCUGGGUACAAAUAUCUGGGCUGAACUCGACAGUGCCAGUCCCAAGUGUCUAGGCUUGCCUUCCUUGCUGGUAGAAGGUACCAAGACCCUAUCAGAGCUGUGUGUCUCCUUCGUGCUCUGGGACUUCAUUGCUCCACUCAUACUGGAGGAGGAGUCCUUCAACUUAACAGUACUGAGUUGAGAGGUCAAGGCUUAGGCGACUGUAGAUCUAACUGGGGACCUGGAUUUUUUCAGAGCUGAUUCCUUAAGAUGAGAGUCCAUGCUCUUCCUUUUUGGAAGCAUUCCCUGAAGCCUCCAAAGUCUUCCCUUUCUUAGGGGAAGCCUGCACUGAGGUAGAAGGGGCACUGGAUCUGUCUGGAGACAGAUGUACAGGGGAAGGGGGAGGUGUCUCCUGACCUGACUCAGAAGCUGGCCUAAGGUAGUGUUCCAUCAUUAGCAGUCUGAAUUUAAUCUCCCUGGUUUUCCUUCCUUGACAGAACAAGGAGCAAUGGUCUCAAGUUGCAGUGGGGGAGGUUUAGGUUGGAUAU
Molecule: long non-coding RNA, 1164 nt
Organism: Trachemys scripta elegans
Lineage: Eukaryota; Metazoa; Chordata; Testudines; Emydidae
Exons: 3
Source: RefSeq, a predicted model, not a curated record